Prosopis cineraria is the source of this 2080-nucleotide long non-coding RNA. RefSeq lists it as uncharacterized. Lineage: Eukaryota; Viridiplantae; Streptophyta; Magnoliopsida; Fabales; Fabaceae. The record is from RefSeq and is a predicted model, not a curated record. The transcript has 3 exons.
CACAAGGUUUUCUUUUGUUUAGUUGUACUAGCAAUUUAGACAUGUCAUUCAUAGAAGUUUUAAUUCAAGAAGAUGAUGAAGAAGAAGCUCAAGAAAAGAGGAUGAAUAUAUAUGGCUUCAAUAAAUCAGAUCACCGGAGUACCAAAUUAAGAAAUUUGAGAAGAUAAUGAGAGCAACACAAGGUGCUCUUAUUGUGGCUAGCUUCAACCGUCCAGAUUGUCGUUGGCUUCGGUGGUCUUUGGCGCAAUAUAUUGAGGUUGAUUGAACCUUUAUACUUUGAGCUACUUCAUUGGUUUUUUUCCCUGUUGAGUUUUACAGACAUAUUGUGCCAUUUUCUUUGUCAGAUUAUCUAUGCAAUUAAGUAAUUCUUCUACUUGCAUAUGCUUGUCAAGAGAUGUCAUACUUCAAUAGUGAAUUCAUAUUAUAUAUAUUUGAAGUUAUAUAUUUGUUUUGUUGGUUGGCCGAAAAAAUACAUUUGUUUUCUGCCUCCUGGUUACUAAUCUGGUUUCUAUUUCCUUGGGUUCUUAAGUCCUCUCUCUGCUAUUUCCUUGAUUGCUCUAUCAGGCUUUGGCCAGUAUGAGUUGGAGUUCUAGUUCCUUUUUCACACGCCUUGAAAUAUUUAAGACCUUUAUAAUACCUAUUGAAUUUCUGUGUUUAUUGGUAAUGCUGCAUAUACCUAUUUAUUUUGUUAUUGUUAACUUGGUUAGAGAGUAAAAUGAUAUUACUGGUAUGAUUGUCCCAUGUUACUAUUUGUGCCAUAUAUUUAACUCUAAAAAAAAUUUACAUCUCUUUAUUUUGGCAAUACUACAAAUAAUUUGUAUCAUUUGACCUUGUUCAAAUUAUCCGUGUCACCCAUAAAUGAACUAAGAAAGUAUCCUUUGGAAUGAGUGUCCCAAGUGUGUAAUCCGUAGUCCUAUUCAUUCUCAUAUCAUAAAUGUUGAUGCUAGUCUCAUCCUUUUAUAUAUCGUACGGUUUCAUCAUUCAUUUCUAUUAAUCCUUAGUUAGCAAGAAUUGUUAUACAUUUAAAUAAAUUAAAUAUCUCUUUUAUUUUAUGACUAUUGAAUUUUAUUUUUUUAAUUUUUUUCAUUUAUUUUAGGGGUGCUUUUCUGGGUUGGAAAUCCUACAACCUAUAAAAAAACCUUUAUUUUUUUUAAAAAAAAAUAGUAUGCUUUACAUUGGUUAUCACUGCAUUCGAUGUCGAAUAUGGUACUUUCAACAUUGAUUGCACGUGUUAACCGAUAUUGAAAGUUAUUAAUUUUUUAAAAAAUUCAUACAAUUAGUAGCUUCUAAUAGUUGUUUUGGAAUUGUUGUUUAAGGAUUUUUAUAACAGCGCUCAUUUGAUCAUUAAAAGUCACUUACUUUUAAUAUCCCUAUAAUAACAAUGAUUUUUUAAUUGCUGUCAAUACUAUUUUUUACUGUUAAAGGUCUAUCUUGUAGCAGUGCGUGUCUCCAUUGAUUUCAGAAUUAUUAUUUUGUACCUGGUUUUUUCUGGAUUUCUCCCUGAUAAGUUUGAUGUUGUGGGUUUAGGUGCAAGCAUUUUAUCAAAAGGAUUAGCUGUUAGAGCCAAGAAUAGAUUGACUCAACUCAUUGAUUUCUGAAACAAUGUGCCGAUGCUGGGAAUGUUGAAGCUUGCUAUAUUUUGGGCAAGGGUUCAACAGACAAGAGCCAGAGGAAGAAGCAUUCAGAGGCUGAAACAUGAAGCAGUACAAGGCAAUAAGCCCUGAGACCAUACUUGUUGCAGAAACUUUAAGAGCCAUAUUUAAUCUGUAUAUGUCUGAUGAUGAUAUAUGUAUUAUCAAUGAAUGAGGGGUUUAGUGUGUAUAUAUGCUAGUAAAUUAAACCCAACACCAAGCUUGUAACAAUGAUUGAAGAAGAAGAAGAAAGCUUGGGAGGUGGGCCUGUGGUGUUGGAAUAUAGAUCUCACACACGCACACACACGCACACACAAACACACACACGUAUGUGAAGUAGCAGCUCCAUCUAGAAGACUGUUGGGCCUGGGGAGCAUCUCGGAAGGGUAGUGUAUUUUCAGUCCUUCUAUCUUUGUAAGUGUUUGAUGCUGUGGUAGCGUAUUUAUACA